UGUUUCGGCUAGGGGGCCAUCCCGGCUUACCAACCCGAUGCAAACUGCGAAUACCGGAGAAUGUUAUCACGGGAGACACACGGCGGGUGCUAACGUCCGUCGUGAAGAGGGAAACAACCCAGACCGCCAGCUAAGGUCCCAAAGUCAUGGUUAAGUGGGAAACGAUGUGGGAAGGCCCAGACAGCCAGGAUGUUGGCUUAGAAGCAGCCAUCAUUUAAAGAAAGCGUAAUAGCUCACUGGUCGAGUCGGCCUGCGCGGAAGAUGUAACGGGGCUAAACCAUGCACCGAAGCUGCGGCAGCGAACGUAUCACCCAAGACAACUUUGCGGAGUUGACGAUUGACGGAGCGAAGCGACGUCAAAGCGUUCAUUAAAGUCGAGUUGGCUUAGGGAUACGUUCGUUGGGUAGGGGAGCGUUCUGUAAGCCAGUGAAGGUGUGUCGUGAGGCAUGCUGGAGGUAUCAGAAGUGCGAAUGCUGACAUAAGUAACGAUAAAGCGGGUGAAAAGCCCGCUCGCCGGAAGACCAAGGGUUCCUGUCCAACGUUAAUCGGGGCAGGGUGAGUCGACCCCUAAGGCGAGGCCGAAAGGCGUAGUCGAUGGGAAACGGGUUAAUAUUCCCGUACUUGGUGUUACUGCGAAGGGGGGACGGAGAAGGCUAUGUUGGCCGGGCGACGGUUGUCCCGGUUUAAGCGUGUAGGUGUGUGUUCCAGGUAAAUCCGGUUCACUUUAACACUGAGGCGUGAUGACGAGGCACUACGGUGCUGAAGCAACAAAUGCCCUGCUUCCAGGAAAAGCCUCUAAGCAUCAGGUAACAUCAAAUCGUACCCCAAACCGACACAGGUGGUCAGGUAGAGAAUACCAAGGCGCUUGAGAGAACUCGGGUGAAGGAACUAGGCAAAAUGGUGCCGUAACUUCGGGAGAAGGCACGCUGACACGUAGGUGAAGUGAUUUACUCAUGGAGCUGAA
RNAcentral lists this ribosomal RNA (964 nucleotides) under Salmonella enterica subsp. enterica. RNAcentral describes it as "partial 23S ribosomal RNA". It matches the Rfam family "Bacterial large subunit ribosomal RNA", at positions 911 to 1781 of the family's 2925-position model. The record is from RNAcentral. Lineage: Bacteria; Pseudomonadati; Pseudomonadota; Gammaproteobacteria; Enterobacterales; Enterobacteriaceae.